Molecule: ribosomal RNA, 253 nt
Filed under: uncultured bacterium
Lineage: Bacteria
Description: partial 16S ribosomal RNA
Rfam family: Bacterial small subunit ribosomal RNA
Source: RNAcentral
UACAGAGGAGCCGAACGUUAUUCGGAUUCACUGGGCUUAAAGGGUGUGUAGGCGGCUUGUUAAGUAGGGUGUGAAAGCCCCUGGCUCAACCAGGGAACUGCACUCUAUACUGGCGAGCUAGAGUGAGAUAGGGGUGUGUGGAACUGCCAGUGGAGCGGUGAAAUGUGUUGAUAUUGGCAGGAACGCCGGUGGCGAAAGCGACACACUGGGUCUCAACUGACGCUGAGACACGAAAGCCAGGGGAGCAAACAGG